Molecule: ribosomal RNA, 454 nt
Filed under: uncultured bacterium
Lineage: Bacteria
Description: bacterial SSU rRNA
Rfam family: Bacterial small subunit ribosomal RNA
Source: RNAcentral
GAGCGAGGGCUUUCUUCCCGCAAGGGAGGGGAGUUCCUAGCGGCGAACGGGUGAGUAACACGUGGGCAACCUGUCGUCUCGUGGGGGAUAACACCGGGAAACCGGUGCUAAUACCGCAUGUCAUCACCGGUCGCAUGGCCGGUGAGAAAAGCAGCAAUGCGCGAGAUGGUGGGCCCGCGGCCUAUCAGCUAGUCGGUGGGGUAACGGCCUACCGAGGCUUUGACGGGUAGCUGGUAUGAGAGGACGACCAGCCACACGGGGACUGAGACACGGCCCCGACUCCUACGGGAGGCAGCAGUGAGGAAUCUUCCGCAAUGGGCGCAAGCCUGACGGAGCGACGCCGCGUGUGGGAUGAAGUCCUUACGGGAUGUAAACCACUGUCGGAGGGGAAGACCAAAGGACGGUACCCUACCAAGAAAGCCCCGGCUAACUACGUGCCAGCAGCCGCGGUAAU